AUAUGGCAUUUACACCAUUUUAACAAAUCACUCUAACUGCAUCAGGUUAUCAAAUAUGUGCCACUGAUAAAACAUAGAAUUGCUAAUGCCUUAGUGCAUAGGACAGUAACAGGGGUGUCCCAACCACUCAUUUUGAAGACACUUUCUUCGUACAAUAUAGCAAAAUCACUCUAUACAUUGGAAUCGACCAUUUAUUUUCCUGCUCACACAUUUAUUUCAGCAUCUUCCCUGAGAAAAGCUAUCUUAUGCUAUUGCGUAACAUUUUGACAAUUAAUGAAUAUAACAUUUUCAUGCUGCAAAUAGAGAACACUAAACUGAAACAAGGUAAAUGCAAUUUAUUGAUCAAAGCCAUAACAAAAGCAAAACAUUACAAAAUUGACUCCUGAACACAAAGCACAAAAUUUUUUUUUUGUUUGGGAUUUUGAUUACCUUGUAUGAUGACUAUAAUGGAAAAAAAAAAAAAAAAAAAACUCAGUCUCACUUCUGUGCUGUAAUUUUAGAUCUUUAGUAGCAAAAACUUCAAAAACAGAAAGAAGCAAAUCACAGCCACUAAUUAUUGUUUUCUACAAAAACAUGUUCCAUUUUGUUUAGCACACAAAAGAAAAUGAUAAACAGUGAGGUACAAUCUGCAGUAUUCAUGCAAUGUUCUGCACAAGUGUCAGGUUUAAUAAUGGCUGCCACUUGUUGCAUAACUGAGAAAACAUGCAGCACUACAGAAAGAAUUCAGGUGCUCUUUAUUAUUUUUUUUUUCAAAGCAAUGUUGCAACUAGCAGUUAAUUACAGUGGCUUACUGGAAAGGCCAUUCGGCAGCUGAACAUCUCAGGAUCCGUAGAGAAUAUUAGAUCAAAAUUCAAGGACAAUUGAAGGAUUUCAAGCAUGUCAAAAGUCAAAAUACAAGGGGGUGGGGGGAACAAACUUUAUUCAUACCCACACGCUCAAAAAUGGCAAAAUCUCCUUCUGGCUGCAAUUUCUUGCAGCUAAGCUGAUGCUGAGUUAGACAAGCUUCAUGCUCCUCAAGUCACUUUUCCAAGUUGACCUGCCCCUUGUAAUGAUGUCAAUCACCUUCUGGCAUGAUGGCUAGUAGUGUCCUGACUUCAGCCAAAGAUACUUAUCAUAUUAGUGCCAAAUGGCUGAGACUUACUUUUCACCAGGCAUUUCUAGAGUCUACACCCUGAAAAUGGAACCAUGAUGACGGCGGUGUGAACUAGCAAAACAAAAUGGUGGCUUGGCUUAGCCGCUUGAUCUGGCUUUUUCUAGCUCUACGACAGCAAUGGUGACUUAAACAAUUAAACAAGCCUCAAGUUGGUGGCUGUGGACACACCAAAUUGCAAUUGUUUAGCCACAUUCUCAGAAUAAAAUACUAGUACCAUUCCUUGAUAGAUAGGUGUACUACGUAUGUGCCACAGGGAAUGUGCCACUCUACAAUGGCGAAAACGAUCCCUUAAAUUUCUCUGAUGUUGAGCAGAAUCGAAUCCAUGUCACAAGGGUUCCUCAAGAACAGUAACCAGAUGCAUUAGCAGGCUGCAUCCCCAGUUCACUGGCUAUGUGCUGCUUUUCAACGAACGCCUUUCAGGCCAAUGCUCUAGCGAGCUCCAUCACAAAUACACUGGGUAUGUGCCGCACUUCAAUGAACCGCUCACUAACUUGGGUCACUAAGUAUGUUCCACCGAGUGUGCAGCAAGCGAGGGAACAAUUAUCAGGGCUCACAGGCACUGGUGCACCAUGCCUCUUGUCUUAUAGAGCUCGUGCGGACUUCUUGGCUGUGCCACUAGAUGGUGCAGCAUGUCCAGACAUAAGCAAGAGAGAAGAGCCGGUUGCUGCAUAACACGUUCCUCAGCGUUUGCAUGCACCAUGCAUUUCAAAGGCCACGUGCAGGUUUGGUGGCGGUGGCACUAGAUGGCACCGACUGUUCUUAGGAAAGUGCAAAAGAGGAGUCCUGCUGUAGUACAAGCCUCAUACAUAACUUGUUUCGAUGGUGGCAAUACAUUGUGUCGCUACAGUAAAAGCUCAUUAAUUUAAACUCCGCGGGGAUGCUACGAAAAUUCGAAUUAUAAAAAAUUCAAACUAAUGGAAGUCAGAGAAAAAAAAUUCGCUCGGUUAAGGCCUGUAUAUAGUUCCAAGUAGCAUGAGCGCACGCGCGCACACGCUAUGUCACGUUGGCAAGAACAACGUCUGUAGUUUGAAGCACUGGCACAGCCAACGUAACUGGACGCGGCCAACGCGGUCCUACGUGCCCGACAUUGAGAUGACUAUUGCUCCAUUUGCGCAUUUGUCGUGCCGACCCAUAAUACACUGCGUGAUGAAAAAAAAAGAAGGCGCCCACGUCGCUAGCCGACCGUCGCAGACACCCGUUGAAAGCGUUCGAAGCGACGCAUGGGUUGGGGAUCACACAUGAUCUAAAGAGAACAGCCGGCGGCGCGCGCGUCGAAGACUAGAGGGGGACGGCGUUUCGGCAAGCAUGACUGGCUGCAAGCGAAUAGCGCUGAAAACGUCUAACCAUAAAAAUGCCUUUGCGUCGCCAACGCUCUCCACAGGAACAAGAGCUGCGCUCUAAAAUGCAUCUGCGAAACGCACCACAACCUGCUGCGACACUGGUCUCCGAAUCUCAAAGGCUAUGCUGUUUAGUACUGCGAACUUUGAUAAACAUCACGGCCACCAUAUUUCAAACAUCACCUGGUGCUGCUUCUCUGCAGAACACCUCGUGGAGAAAGAGCAUAGCCUCCAAGAUGCAACAGAAAGAUGUAAAGAAAGAAAAAGAAUGAAAAAAAAAAAAAAAAAAAACACAGCGCCGCAUUUUUAUCUUGAAGGUCUUGAGAGAGGGACAGAACCGACCUGCUACGGAGGCGUUGCCAUGCGCGGCCUGCGCGGCAACGCCAGCGUCGCCAACGUGCUCCCGCACACUAGCACAUUCCCCAUCCACAAUGGCACGGAGUUAAAAUUAUCGGUGGCGGAGCGGAUUUCAGUGUGAGUUAGUGGGACGCAUUACAUAUUGCUUUCAAUACAUUGUUGGAUGGACCCCAGCGGCUACUUUGAAUUAUCCAAAAUUUUGAACUAACGAGUUGUGCGCGUCAUCAUAUUGUGUGCUAUUCAAAGAACUGCACAAUGUGUCUGCUUGCUGAUUAAAUCUAAAAUAUAAAUUAACUAUUAUCUGGCAAGUUUUAAAGUAUAAGCAUGUGGUGCCGGGCGUUCAUGCAGUGCUUUAACAGGGUGUCUACCGAGUUGACAUUUCCAAAUUCCCUGAGUUUUCCAGGUUUUCCCCGAGUGCCUUUGCAAAAUUCCUUGAGUGACGCAGAACUACGUUUUAUGUCAAGAUGGGCUGAAACCACGUCGCCCAAUGCUGUCAUUCUCUAGCAAGCAUAUGAAACAAAUAAAAAAGAAACGACUUAAUCCAGUUUGAAUACUAUGGAGUAGUCUUUAUGUUAUUCAAAAAGAGAAUAGAAAGGAGGGGUUAGUAAUAUGCACAGCAAAUAAAAUGUCUUCAAAAAAAAAUUGCAAAUCGAGUCGGACAUUCUCAAAUACGAAUAAAAAUGAGAUGCAUACAGAAGCAAAUAUUUUCUAAUAUGAGCUAUUUCUAUCAACUGAUAGCAAGCUCUGUGGUAUGAGGCCCGAACUUUGUCACAAUUGAGAUUCUCUCUCAAGAGCUCGUAAGUCAACCUCAGCUGCCCUGGCAUACUCUCAGCCCGCGCACGACGCCUCAGUGUUGUGUUUCACUGCUUUAAAGAGUUUAUUUUGGUUUGGAUGAUGGACACCUGCAUCCCGGCAUCAGCCAAAACUUUUUUUUGAGCUCAAGCUCCUUCAAAACGGCAGCAGCAUGCUUCCUUUCCUGUUCAUUUUUCAAUGCAUAGGUUCUUUCUGUUCUUGUCCUCCUUCCGCCACUCGUUCGGCCCGUGAACCAUUUGAAGCAUUUUCUUGGUAAGUUGCACAGUCCACGUCCGAUUUUUCGUACUCCUUAGGGGCCGCGAAAACGUCCGAAAAAUCGGCCAGUUGGAAAAAAUAAAUGCAUGUCAUUUACUUCCCCUAAGGGCUGAAACCGUCACAGGCACAUUUGAAAACGCUCUGAAGGCCUGUCAGUACACCUAUUAGGCAUAUCGGUGCUCGUAGUGUAACAGGAGAUCCCGGAUGCACGCGUGUAUAAUUAAGGAAUAGAUAUUGUGACCCACGACAAUACCCCUUCCGAUGCUUGUAAUGCUUCACCGCAAUACUUUUGCGCAUGCUUCACCACGUAACAUUCCUGUACUGAGGCGAAGCUGACUAUCAGAAACCGGCGUUAUCUAACGCAUUGUGCUUUUUUUAAGUAGUAAGUAAGUGUUUUUUAUUUACAGUAAGUAGUAUACAAAGCUCAGUGCAGGGGCAGGGGCUAAAGGCAAUCAAGCCUGACAAAGGUCCUUGUCCCUCCGCAGUUCGUGACAGCUCACACGCUUCGAGUUCAACAGUCAAAAAAAAAAAAAAGGAUUGCAGUAGAUCAGUUUCAGGAAAAUGGACAACUAGCUACUUGCAAGAGUACACAUAACAAAUCACAUAAACAAGAGAAAAAUUUACAUAACAUCUCUAAGUAAUCAUACAGAAGAGGUUGCGUGCACGCCAUAAUAUAUAGCUACACAAAAUAAAUUCAAGAAAUUUGAAACUAAGAAUGCAUGAGGAUACAAUGAAACUACAUUUUACAUGGAAACACUCAAAAUACUAAUUCUUGAAUGAUUUAAGCAUUGGUCGAGGCAUGAAAAUUCACAGGUUAAUGUUUAUACUGUAUACAUGUGGUAAUUAAUAAGUUCUUUGCUUGUUUUUUGAAUGCAGCACUACUACCCUUAAAGUUCAAUCUAUCUGCAAGGAUAUUCAAAACAUGAUGUGUCUGCGCCACCCCGCAGUCUCUGACAGCCGGUGACGCAAGUACAAUUCUGAACAAUCACAUGAAACCAAAUCGUCAAAAGCGCUCCAUACACUGGAUGCCACCAGUGGACUGGAAGGAAACGCUGGCAUGGCAGACCCCCCCACUGAGUUCCACAUCAGCUGCCUAGAGCUCCCUUGUCAAGUCUUUCAGCCAGAUCAUCUGACCAGAAGCCUGAUAACUGUGGCCUUAAAGCGCAGAUCAAGAAACACGGCCAGGCUGGCCAUUUUGCCAAAUUCGCACUCCGGUGAGUUAAUAAAUUUUGCGAGAUUGUCAGCAUACCCCGACUUGCCUUUGCGACCUUUGAGGCAAUGCAGCAUUCCUAAAAUAAUUAGAAUUUCAAAUGACAAUGAGAGGUUGUUUUUAGCACUAAGAUCACAACUGAGUGAAAUAAAGGCUUCAAUGCCU
Long non-coding RNA from Dermacentor andersoni, 5290 nucleotides. RefSeq lists it as uncharacterized. Lineage: Eukaryota; Metazoa; Arthropoda; Arachnida; Ixodida; Ixodidae. The record is from RefSeq and is a predicted model, not a curated record.